This 94-nucleotide signal recognition particle RNA is filed under the name Erysipelothrix larvae. RNAcentral describes it as "Bacterial small signal recognition particle RNA". It matches the Rfam family "Bacterial small signal recognition particle RNA". Rfam says of the family: The signal recognition particle (SRP) is a universally conserved ribonucleoprotein involved in the co-translational targeting of proteins to membranes. Archaeal SRP consists of a 7S RNA and homologues of the eukaryotic SRP19 and SRP54 proteins. The record is from Rfam by way of RNAcentral. Lineage: Bacteria; Bacillati; Bacillota; Erysipelotrichia; Erysipelotrichales; Erysipelotrichaceae.
AAUAAAGCUACUACAACGGCAUCUUGAUAACCAGGUCAGGGUAGGAAUACAGCAGCCUUACUUAAGCUCUGUCGUGUGUGGUGGCUUUUUUUUU